UGCAGCUGUGUCAAAUUCAGUGCCUGCCCAGCCUAUGGCAGACACUGGCCCAGAAGGCUGCCACAGCAGCAUGUGACCCAUGGGCUCUGAUUCCCUUACCUGGGCUUCAGGGAUAAAUUUGGUUACAUACACUA
This 134-nucleotide small nucleolar RNA is filed under the name Sorex araneus (European shrew). RNAcentral describes it as "Small nucleolar RNA SNORA5 (ENSSARG00000016245.1)". It matches the Rfam family "Small nucleolar RNA SNORA5". From Rfam's summary of the family: ACA5 is a member of the H/ACA class of snoRNA that guide the sites of modification of uridines to pseudouridines. The record is from RNAcentral. Lineage: Eukaryota; Metazoa; Chordata; Mammalia; Eulipotyphla; Soricidae.